This 1104-nucleotide ribosomal RNA is filed under the name Trilobodrilus axi. Its description in RNAcentral is "partial large subunit ribosomal RNA". It matches the Rfam family "Eukaryotic large subunit ribosomal RNA", at positions 48 to 876 of the family's 3401-position model. The record is from RNAcentral. Lineage: Eukaryota; Metazoa; Annelida; Polychaeta; Dinophilidae.
UAGCGAGGAAAGAAACUAACAAGGAUUCCCCUAGUAACGGCGAGUGAAGAGGGAUUUAGCCCAGCACCGAAUCCUCUGGUCUUGACGGUCAGUUGGAACUGUGGUGUUUGGGUGCUUUCAUGUCCUUGUAGCCGUUCGGCUUAAGUUCUCUUGAUCGGGACUUUACCCAAAGAGGGUGUUAGGCCCGUCUAUGUCGAACGUUAGCUGCGGGCUUGGAAGCGCCUAGGAGUCGGGCUGUUUGAGAUUGCAGCUCAAAGUGGGUGGUAAGCUCCAUCUAAGGCUAAAUACUUGCAUGAGUCCGAUAGCAGACAAGUACCGUGAGGGAAAGUUGAAAAGAACUUUGAAGAGAGAGUUCAAUAGUACGUGAAACCGUUUAGAGGUAAACGAACGGGACCGCAAACGCCUCUCGGUCAUAUUCAAUCUAGCGUCGGGGAUGCUUUCGGUGGACGGACUAGUUUUCUGGCCGUUGCCGAUUGUUUUUCUUCGAUUGCUGGCUGCUUGUUUGGCCGUUGAGGGCGCCACAACCGGUUUGCUAAUAUUUUCUUAUAGGUUGGCUUACGGUUCGGAGUAAGGUAGGCCGGCAUGCCGCAUUUCUUUCGGGACGUGUGGUUGUCGGUUGUCAUAUAGAUUCCGUUCUCUGACGCACGACCGGCAGACCGAGGAAGAACUUUAAGGCGGCGUCCUCCUCUUUUGGCGACUUACCAGUUCGAUUAGUUGGCCGUGUUCGACCGUGAUAAACUGCUUGCAGUGUAUCGUGACCGCACGGUUAACGUUGGGCUAGUUUUGUCGUUUGACGCUCAAGGUUAGUGGCGAAUUGUCGGCACCCCGUUCGACCCGUCUUGAAACACGGACCAAGGAGUGCAGCAUGCGUGCGAGUCGUAGGGUUCUCAACGAGACCUGAAGGCGAAAUGAAGGUAAAGGGCGGUCUCUCGGGGCCGUCUAAGGUGUGAUCCGAAACCGGUCGUCAAUGCCGGUCCGGCGCAACACCGGCCCGUCUUAAACCCAGUGCCGGUUGAGGCGGCGCAAGAGCACGUACGCUGCGACCCGAAAGAUGGUGAACUAUGCCUGAGUAGGAUGAAGCCAGAGGAAACUCUGGUGGAAUCC